AACGAACGCUGGCGGCAGGCCUAACACAUGCAAGUCGAACGCUCCGCAAGGGGAGUGGCGCACGGGUGAGUAACACGUGGGAACCUACCUUCUGGUACGGAACAACCAAGGGAAACUUUGGCUAAGACCGUAUACGACCUCCGGGUGAAAGAUUGAUCGCCGGAAGAGGGGCCCGCGUCCGAUUAGGUAGUUGGUGAGGUAACGGCUCACCAAGCCUUCGAUCGGUAGCUGGUCUGAGAGGAUGACCAGCCACACUGGGACUGAGACACGGCCCAGACUCCUACGGGAGGCAGCAGUGGGGAAUAUUGGACAAUGGGCGCAAGCCUGAUCCAGCCAUGCCGCGUGAGUGAUGAAGGCCUUCGG
This 363-nucleotide ribosomal RNA is filed under the name uncultured bacterium. RNAcentral's name for it is "bacterial SSU rRNA". It matches the Rfam family "Bacterial small subunit ribosomal RNA", at positions 29 to 421 of the family's 1533-position model. The record is from RNAcentral.